Molecule: long non-coding RNA, 96 nt
Organism: Mustela erminea (ermine)
Lineage: Eukaryota; Metazoa; Chordata; Mammalia; Carnivora; Mustelidae
Exons: 3
Source: RefSeq, a predicted model, not a curated record
UCCCUUUCCCUCUUUUUUAUUUAUUAAAUUCCACACAUCAAUGAAAUCCUACGAUAGUUGUCUUUCUUUGACUGACUUAUUUCACUUAACAUAGUA